AGCACAGCCACGGGAAUACAGAGGGUGCGAGCGUUAAUCGGAUUUACUGGGCGUAAAGCGUGCGUAGGCGGCUUUUUAAGUCGGAUGUGAAAUCCCUGAGCUUAACUUAGGAAUUGCAUUCGAUACUGGGAAGCUAGAGUAUGGGAGAGGAUGGUAGAAUUCCAGGUGUAGCGGUGAAAUGCGUAGAGAUCUGGAGGAAUACCGAUGGCGAAGGCAGCCAUCUGGCCUAAUACUGACGCUGAGGUACGAAAGCAUGGGGAGCAAACAGGAUUAGAGACCCGUGUAGUCCCUGUCUCUUAUACA
This 303-nucleotide ribosomal RNA is filed under the name uncultured bacterium. RNAcentral's name for it is "partial 16S ribosomal RNA". It matches the Rfam family "Bacterial small subunit ribosomal RNA", at positions 510 to 808 of the family's 1533-position model. The record is from RNAcentral.